GUCACAAAGCUAGGAAGUAGCAAUUUUCGAAUCAGAUUCUGAGUCUCCUGAUUCCUCCCUUUGGCAUUCUUCUUUCCACUAGAACACUUGGCACCUAUUGUCUCAGAGCCUGAUUGUAGGCACCCCCAACUAAUUUCUGGUAAGUAGAUAUAAUCAUCUCAUCUGUAUUUUACAAGAUGGCGCAUCAGAAUAACCAUCUGUCAUCAAGCGGCUGCAUCUUCUGCUCUCUCUAGAGAUGGAAUAAACACGCCACCAUAGCAAACCAGAAAAAUAAGCAGUGGAGUGAUCCCAAGGACAAUGGGGUUCCUGAGGUGGACAGGAAGUUGCCUACAGCUGUUUCUGUGAAUGUUUUUGGAGAAGAGGAGGUAACUGACAGAAAAGACUUCCAGCAAUCCUCAGCAAGGGAAAGAAAUUGACAGAC
Molecule: long non-coding RNA, 421 nt
Filed under: Monodelphis domestica (gray short-tailed opossum)
Lineage: Eukaryota; Metazoa; Chordata; Mammalia; Didelphimorphia; Didelphidae
Description: lncRNA (ENSMODG00000044162.1)
Source: RNAcentral